This 138-nucleotide non-coding RNA is filed under the name Bacillus massilinigeriensis. RNAcentral describes it as "FMN riboswitch (RFN element)". It matches the Rfam family "FMN riboswitch aptamer (RFN element)". Rfam says of the family: The RFN element is a highly conserved domain that is found frequently in the 5'-untranslated regions of prokaryotic mRNAs that encode for flavin mononucleotide (FMN) biosynthesis and transport proteins. This element is a metabolite-dependent riboswitch that directly binds FMN in the absence of proteins. Lineage: Bacteria; Bacillati; Bacillota; Bacilli; Caryophanales; Bacillaceae. The record is from RNAcentral.
UUCCUUCGGGGUAGGGUGAAAUUCCCAACCGGCGGUGAUGAGGCACAGCCUCUAAGUCCGUGACCCGGUUAACAAAUGUUAAACGGUGGAUCUGGUGAAACUCCAGAGCCGACAGUAAAGUCUGGAUGGGAGAAGGAA